Molecule: ribosomal RNA, 253 nt
Filed under: uncultured Desulfovibrio sp.
Lineage: Bacteria; Pseudomonadati; Thermodesulfobacteriota; Desulfovibrionia; Desulfovibrionales; Desulfovibrionaceae
Description: partial 16S ribosomal RNA
Rfam family: Bacterial small subunit ribosomal RNA
Source: RNAcentral
UACGGAGGGCGCGAGCGUUAAUCGGAAUUACUGGGCGUAAAGCGCGCGUAGGCUGUUGUGUAAGUUGGGGGUGAAAUCCCACGGCUCAACCGUGGAACAGCCCUUGAUACUGCGCGACUUGAAUCCGGGAGAGGGUGGCGGAAUUCCAGGUGUAGGAGUGAAAUCCGUAGAUACCAGGAGGAACAUCGGUGGCGUAAGCGCUUUACUGGGCCGUAAUUGACGCUGAGGAACGAAAGCCAGGGUAGCAAAUGGG